AGCUGCCGUAGUCCUGCACCAGGAAGAAAAAGUGCUGAGGAGAAGAAGAAGAAUGAGUUGAAGAUAUGGAAAGAGCCAUCAAGUCCGAGAUGACCAGGACAAUUAGGAACAAACUGGAAAACAAGAGUGGAAAGAAAGCGUCAAAACAGGUAUGUGGCUGUGAGGGAGAGGAAUAUGCUGAGGAGUCGGUGGAAGAUACGAGUAGAGCUCAACAACGGCACCAGCAUGGAAGACACUGAGAAAACACAAGACACAGGAGAUUCUGAGGUGUUGGACAGAUGUUGUGCUCACUCACACCCGCCUACCUAACGUGGUCCAGCUGAUGAUCUGGUUCAGAAGCGGCAGGCCCUGUUUCUGCUGCAGGCUGGAGUGUGUGAGGGACGGCACGUACGCACACACUGCCACAUGGAGCAUCUGUACAGUGUGACAGUACUGUGAAAGCUGGAGCAGUAAUCCAUGACAUAGUUACCUUGGCUUUUCCAAAAAGUCCCGAGAGGAAGGGCCAGAGCGAGAGCACAGCCAGGCCCACAGUCAGCAUGGCGCGAUGGAAGAAACUCACCACCUGGGGGCAGCAAAGAGGAGGAACAUGAGUGGAUACACUUCAAAGGAUCUAAUUAACACUUCACUGCCGCUGUGCCAGACGUGCAUGAACAUGUUUGUGUGAGGUGUAGGAGAACCUGGGUCCUAAACUAAAGUCGAAAAGAAACCAGCUUGAGAGGCAUUAAAGCAGGCAGCUGAGAGAAGAGUAAAUGAGUUUAGCACCUUGUAAGAAUCCAUCGUUGUAUGGUUGGGCUGCGGUGACUUUUUGGGCAUUUUUAACUCCGGCUCCCCACGCCACUAAAGGUGUGAGAGUCUCAGAGGGAUGGCCUGC
This is a long non-coding RNA of Trematomus bernacchii (emerald rockcod), 871 nucleotides long. RefSeq lists it as uncharacterized. The transcript is spliced from 7 exons. The record is from RefSeq and is a predicted model, not a curated record. NCBI's taxonomy places the organism in Eukaryota, Metazoa, Chordata, Actinopteri, Perciformes, Nototheniidae.